AGUGAACGCUGGCGGUAGGCUUAACACAUGCAAGUCGAACGGCAGCACAGUAAGAGCUUGCUCUUACGGGUGGCGAGUGGCGGACGGGUGAGGAAUACAUCGGAAUCUACUUUUUCGUGGGGGAUAACGUAGGGAAACUUACGCUAAUAUCGCAUACGCCCUACGGUUGAAAGCAGUGGAUCUUCUGACCUUGCGCGAUUGAAUGAGCCGAUGUCGGAUUAGCUAGUUGGCGGGGUAAAUGCCCACUAAGGCGACGAUCCGUAGCUGGUCUGAGAGGAUGAUCAGCCGCACUGGAACGGAGACACGCUCCAGAGUCCUACGGGAGGGAGCAGUGGGGAAUAUUGGACAAUGGGCGGAAGCCUGAUCCAGCCAUACCGAGUGGGUGAAGAAGACCUUCGGGUUGUAAAGCCCUUUUGUUGGGAGAGAAAAGCAGCAGGUUGAUACCCAGCUGUUCUGACGGUACCCAGAGAAUAAGCACCGGCUAACUUCGUG
Molecule: ribosomal RNA, 492 nt
Filed under: uncultured bacterium
Lineage: Bacteria
Description: partial 16S ribosomal RNA
Rfam family: Bacterial small subunit ribosomal RNA
Source: RNAcentral